AUUGAACGCUGGCGGCAGGCCUAACACAUGCAAGUCGAACGAGUGGCGGACGGGUGAGUAAUGUCUGGGAAACUGCCUGAUGGAGGGGGUUAACUACUGGAAACGGUAGCUAAUACCGCAUACCAUUGGAUGUGCCCAGGUGUGAUUGGCCAGUGGGUGGGGUAAAGGCUCACCUAGGCGACGAUCCCUAGCUGGUCUGAGAGGAUGACCAGCCACACUGGAACUGAGACACGGUCCAGACUCCUACGAGAGACAGCAGUGGGGAAUAUUGCACAAUGGGCGCAAUCCUGAUGCAGCCAUACCGCGUGUAUGAAGAAGGCCGUCGGGUUGUAAAAUACAUUCAGCAGGGAGGCGUUACCCGAUGAAUAAGCACCGGCUAACUCCGUGCCAGCAGCCGCGGUAAUUC
Molecule: ribosomal RNA, 406 nt
Filed under: uncultured bacterium
Lineage: Bacteria
Description: partial 16S ribosomal RNA
Rfam family: Bacterial small subunit ribosomal RNA
Source: RNAcentral